AAAAAAAAAGCCUCCGCUCCCCUUCAAACUCAUCUAGAGUCGAUACUUCAGUGAGAUGGGACCACGUUUCUGAAGGCACUUGGGAUUUACUGCAAUAUGGCAAUGGCGGAUGAAGGAAGAACCCCCAACAAAUGUGCAGAUGAGCAUCUCUUUAGCAUUGAGCAUUGGAUAUUGAGUGCACGGAAAUCCCAGGUUUUAACCCACCCUUGGAACAUCAAGGUUUCAAGUUUUGGGAAUGGGUUGCUGUAUCGUUAGAUUUCUAUCAGGAUUGGCAGGCACCAAUCUGGAGAUGAUGCUGAGAUAUUGGCCAAAAAUGGGGCUGAGGAUCAGGCCAUCUCAGCUGACACUCAUCUGAUCUCCAAUUCUGAGCGCCCAUGGAUGGUAGAAAGGCCUGCUUACCUGUAUCUUCCAUCCCUGCUGGAUUAAUUUUUAUGGAGCAAGUUUUUUUUCUGUCCAGGGUGAAGAGAGAAUCUCUUCAUCUAAAAUGAUUUGAUGCUAUGCUUGGACUUUUAGAAUAGUGAAUGUCAUUAUUGAUUCCCCGUUUGUUUA
Molecule: long non-coding RNA, 549 nt
Organism: Macadamia integrifolia
Lineage: Eukaryota; Viridiplantae; Streptophyta; Magnoliopsida; Proteales; Proteaceae
Exons: 2
Source: RefSeq, a predicted model, not a curated record